RNAcentral lists this transfer RNA (87 nucleotides) under Salinivibrio sp. SS2. RNAcentral's name for it is "tRNA-Leu". It matches the Rfam family "tRNA". From Rfam's summary of the family: Transfer RNA (tRNA) molecules are approximately 80 nucleotides in length. Their secondary structure includes four short double-helical elements and three loops (D, anti-codon, and T loops). Further hydrogen bonds mediate the characteristic L-shaped molecular structure. tRNAs have two regions of fundamental functional importance: the anti-codon, which is responsible for specific mRNA codon recognition, and the 3' end, to which the tRNAs corresponding amino acid is attached (by aminoacyl-tRNA synthetases). tRNAs cope with the degeneracy of the genetic code in two manners: having more than one tRNA (with a specific anti-codon) for a particular amino acid; and 'wobble' base-pairing, i.e. permitting non-standard base-pairing at the 3rd anti-codon position. Lineage: Bacteria; Pseudomonadati; Pseudomonadota; Gammaproteobacteria; Vibrionales; Vibrionaceae. The record is from RNAcentral.
GCCGAGGUGGUGGAAUUGGUAGACACGCUAUCUUGAGGGGGUAGUGCCUAUAUGGGCGUGCGGGUUCAAGUCCCGCUCUCGGCACCA